UGACACAAGAUGUCAGUAAAACAUUUGGCCACUCUCAACAAUAGCAGCAAAACUGAGAGCUUUGAUUUUUAAAAUAAACAAUUCAUACUACUAGAAAAUCAGGAAACAAUUGAAAGUUGUAAGCUGGAGAUACCAACAUACUCUUACCAGAUUUGUUCUUGCAUUCUAUAUCAUAGCCCGUGAUUAGACUAUUUCCAUCAAAUCCCAUGGUCCAUCUGAGGGCAAUGCUGCGUGCUCUCACCUCUCGGAUUUCUAUUUCUGGAGGAUCUGGGGGUUCUGGGCAAACAGACAAACUCUGUUUUAGUCAAGAGAAGGGAAGAUCUGUGUGUCAGCUACAGCAGAACUGAUGCAACCUGCAGCCACAGAAAAUUGGAGGUUGGGAGAAAGGUUGUUUGUGAGUCCUGAGUAGAUUUGACAUCUUAUCCACAAGCUCCAAGGCAUAUAGGCGUGGGAGCAAGCGUGAUAUGCAGAGCCCCAUAGCUCAUUUCUGCCUCAGCUUGGCAUUUGACAAGAGCAUCACCUCAGCCACUCCAGAACCUGCCGAAGCCUGCCUGACUACAGUUCCCCACCUCCUCACCGAGAAGUACGGUAGGGGGCACCUGGCCUGAGAAUGUACUGAGGAAUGGAGUUCAGAAUGCAAAACAACAACAAAAACCUCCACUACAGUUGCUGGGAGCUUUUCACUGAUCAGACUUGAAACAUUUUGUGCACUGUUUCUUCUUCAGAAAAAAUCAAAUAACUACUGUAUUGCUUCACCCAGUUAAGGCUGCUGCGAGCCUAAAGCCACUGAAUUAAGAGUGCACUCCUAUGCAUGUUAAGUCAGCAGUAAGCUCCAUUGAGUUCAACUCAACUUACUCCCCGUGAGCUGAAUUAUUCCACGGUCCUCCCCAUAUGAAUUGAUGGCAUGGCAGGAGAAGAAACCAGAGUCUUCUCGCACCGUUGGCAAAAUCUAUUUUGUGGAUUGAAAAGAAGAAAACAUAGUCAAUAGGCAAUAUUGAAAGGAGCAGGAGGUGGCCUACCUGAAGCAGGGGAAGAGGGGAAGACACAAAUGAUUCCUUUGCAGAGCAGUUACAGGGAGACACAGAACUUCUCCAGCAGAAAAACCAACACCCAUUCCUAUUUGCAGGAACACCUGCAUUCAGCCUCAGCUGUUUCCAGAGCUGAGAUCUGAGCAUAUAAAGCUGGGUUAUUUAUGUAUUUAUUAUUUGAUUUAUAUCCCACCCUUCCUCCCAGCAGAAGCCCAGGUUCAAUAUUCAUCCCUCACUCUAACAAUCUGAGAUCAUGAAUCAACCUUGUCAUUUGCAAAGUCUUUCCAAAAAAACUAUCAGGAUCAGUUAGUCUUACAGCAGUAUCAUAUGCAUACAU
This is a long non-coding RNA of Rhineura floridana, 1365 nucleotides long. RefSeq lists it as uncharacterized. The transcript has 4 exons. Lineage: Eukaryota; Metazoa; Chordata; Lepidosauria; Squamata; Rhineuridae. The record is from RefSeq and is a predicted model, not a curated record.